AAUUUAUUUCAUAAUUUUCUUGAUUCCGGCAAUCAAAAAAUAAAAAAUCUUUAAUCAAUCUCCGGCGUCCCUCUGGGUUAACAAUGUCAAACUGAAUACUCAUAUAACGUAUACUUUGUUUUUUUAGAUUCUGGUUUGGAUUAAUCUGGCCUGAUUUCUUUGUCCUGGUGCUACAUACUUGGUCUGUGCAUUGAAUUCGGUGGAUGUGCACCUUGAAAGAAACUGUAUAUGUGGUUCUCAUCUUCUUCCGACUUACUGACAGGUGCCUCGGCUCUAAUUUAUGGAUAGAGAAUUCAAGAAUAUGUAAUAUCGUAGUUUAUAAUAAAGAUGAAUCAAUUUA
Long non-coding RNA from Eurytemora carolleeae, 340 nucleotides. RefSeq lists it as uncharacterized. The record is from RefSeq and is a predicted model, not a curated record. NCBI's taxonomy places the organism in Eukaryota, Metazoa, Arthropoda, Copepoda, Calanoida, Temoridae. The transcript has 3 exons.